GAGUUUGAUCGUGGCUCAGAUUGAACGCUGGCGGCAUGCCUUACACAUGCAAGUCGAACGGCAGCACGGGAGCUUGCUCCUGGUGGCGAGUGGCGAACGGGUGAGUAAUGCAUCGGAACGUAUCCUGGAGUGGGGGAUAACGUAGCGAAAGUUACGCUAAUACCACAUAUUCUGUGAGCAGGAAAGCGGGGGACCUUCGGGCCUCGCGCUCUUGGAGCGGCCGAUGUCGGAUUAGCUAGUUGGUGAGGUAAAGGCUCACCAAGGCGACGAUCCGUAGCAGGUCUGAGAGGAUGAUCUGCCACACUGGAACUGAGACACGGUCCAGACUCCUACGGGAGGCAGCAGUGGGGAAUUUUGGACAAUGGGGGCAACCCUGAUCCAGCCAUGCCGCGUGAGUGAAGAAGGCCUCGGUUGUAAGACGUCUUUCGUCGUAGGGAAGGAAAGUUAAGUCGACCGGACCGAACGUAACCUACGGU
RNAcentral lists this ribosomal RNA (476 nucleotides) under bacterium enrichment culture clone ALO1_GLFRUDD03GC6E0. RNAcentral's name for it is "bacterial SSU rRNA". It matches the Rfam family "Bacterial small subunit ribosomal RNA", at positions 9 to 485 of the family's 1533-position model. The record is from RNAcentral.